UCCAUCACUUGGAAAGAAAUUUUUAUGAGAUCAUUCUUUUUGGUUGUAUUGAAAAAAACUUUAAAAAUUUUUUGUUUCAUGUAUGUUAGGUGUUUUUGUUUUAUAGAAAAAUUAGGGUUUUGUACUUUUUGUAUCAUGGGGUAUAUAGAGGUUUGUUAAAUUAUUGUUCCUGAAAGGUUCUGAUCUAUCUUCUUUGUUUUGUGUGGUGUUGCAGAACCAUAAGAAAAAAGUUGAUGGAUAGUGAUAUGCUUGUCGCAGGGCCUGAUAGCUGGUUAGGUGGGAAAUGCGCAUAAGUGCAGUGUAAUGUGUAAUAAGCGUAGAUUUUGUUGUAAUGCGUUUGUUGUCUUAUAGUGAGGUUAUAGGGGUAAGCUCUAGUAACGUUUAGGUGUACAGGUUUUGUUAAGUAGAGUUAGUAUUGCUGGAUAAUUGUCCUAGCUCUUUUUAGAGUAGUCUAUGACGAUGGCCGUUCAUUUUAUAAUCUUAUGUUAAAUUGUUGUUCAAAGUUACUUUCGAAUUUGGUUGGUUGCAGUACCAUUUGAGGUUCUAAAAUUUUUUGGGUUCACAGUAGUAUGCCAUGCGUAGGUGUUUAGAUAUGGUUGUAGUUUAGUGGGGUUGAGUUGUGUUUGUUUGUGUGUUUUUGUUUUAAUUAUUUUGAUAUUAUUUUAAAUUUAUUUAAGUAGGCCUAAGGAACUCGGCAAAAAUUUUCUUCGCCUGUUUAUUAAAAACAUCGCUCUUAGCUUAAAAUUAAUAAGAGUCGUGCCUGCCCGGUGAGUUUACUUAAACGGUUGCUAUUAUAGUAGUACUAAGGUAGCGCAAUAAAUUGUCCUUUAAUUGGGGAAGGGAAUGAAUGGCUUGACGUGAGAAAAUCUGUCUCAGGUUUAGAAAUUGAAAUUUACUUUUAGGUGAAAAGGCUUAAAUAAGGUUAUUAGACGAGAAGACCCCGUCGAGCUUGAUAAGGUGGUGAAGAUAAAGUUUAUCACUAAAGUUUUGUUGGGGUGACAGGAAGCAGAAUUAACGCAUCCUAUUUUGUUUAUUUCGAUCUUAUACUAUGGAUAAAAAGAAAAAGCUACCGCGGGGAUAACAGCGUAAUGUUUCUGGAAAGAUCAAAUUGAAAGAAAGUGUUGCGACCUCGAUGUUGAAUUAAGGUGUCAUCCUGGCGCAGUAGUUAGGAUAGUAGGUCUGUUCGCCCUUUAAAGCCUUACAUGAUUUGAGUUUAGACCGGCGCGAGCUAGGUCGGAUUCUAUCUUUAUUUAAAGCUUUCUUUGUACGAAAGGAUCGGAGAGUUGGCACGAUAAGUGUUUGUUAAUAUAAAUGGGAUAAUU
This 1322-nucleotide ribosomal RNA is filed under the name Dicyathifer mannii. RNAcentral's name for it is "16S ribosomal RNA". The stretch from base 924 to 1249 matches the Rfam family "Bacterial large subunit ribosomal RNA", at positions 2074 to 2646 of the family's 2925-position model. The record is from RNAcentral. Lineage: Eukaryota; Metazoa; Mollusca; Bivalvia; Myida; Teredinidae.